Non-coding RNA from Caenorhabditis elegans, 198 nucleotides. The record is from Ensembl. Lineage: Eukaryota; Metazoa; Nematoda; Chromadorea; Rhabditida; Rhabditidae.
GGCGGAGCUCUCUCUUUCUCUCAAUUUUCUCGUCUCCGCUCUGUCGCUGACACUGGCCAUUCUCUCUAGUGUCACACUGGAAAGUGACUGACUACGUCCAGCGGGGGCAAAAGAGGCCUCCGGGCUGUCGCUUUUUCUCUCUUGAAGCUCCUUCUCUGUGCUCUAUUGCUCAACCUUUCUCUCGACUCCUUCUCCUCC